Molecule: ribosomal RNA, 406 nt
Filed under: uncultured bacterium
Lineage: Bacteria
Description: partial 16S ribosomal RNA
Rfam family: Bacterial small subunit ribosomal RNA
Source: RNAcentral
GAUGAACGCUAGCUACAGGCUUAACACAUGCAAGUCGAGGGACCGUCGCACGGGUGAGUCACACGUAUCCAUCCUGCCCUUUACUCGGGGAUAGCCUUUCGAAAGAACGAUUAAUACCCGAUAUAAUGGAUGGGGAUGCGUUCCAUUAAGUUGUUGGUGAGGUAACGGCUCACCAAGCCUUCGAUGGGUAGGGGUGCUGUGGGGAAGGUACCCCAGAUUGGAAGUGCGACACGGUCCAAACUCCUACGGGAGGCAGGAGUGAGGAAGAGUGGUCAAUGGGCGUGGGCCUGAACCAGCCAAGUAGCGUGAAGGAUGAAGGCAUAGGGGUCGUAAACUGCUGUUAAAUAAGGAUAAGUAUUAUAAGAAUAAGGAUCGGCUCACUCCGUGCCAGCAGCCGCGGUAAUUC